UUUGUUUUCUUGUUUUCGGUUUCAUUCUCCAUCAAAAAGUACAAUAAAUAAUUGAAUUAUUGAAUCACUAAUGUUUCAAAUCAUUCAUAUUUACUACGAAGUAAUUGGUAUUGAGAAGGUGGACAAUUAUGAAUUAGUAUUUCACGUGGAUUUAAAAUUUCGUUGGACUUUUGAUCGUUGAAUUGCUGCCAAUCGAAUUGUUGCCAAUGGUAUGAUGCAGGGAUAUGAAUAAUAAUUGAGUUAUCUGCCAUCUGAAUGCAAAAUACAUGGGUUGCUGCCAAUCCUUGAUGCAUAUACAAAUCUCUAGAGUUAUCUAUGAUGGAGUUUAAUUGAGAUCGAUAAAGAAGAAGAAAUAACAUCAGGUUUUGUUAUGUUUGCACAGAUUGACAGGAAAACAAUAAAUAUUAUGUGAUUGAGGGAAAGAAUACACACAUAAUAGAACAAUAUGAGCCAUUGAUUAAAUAAAAUAAACGGUUGAGAUUUGGUGUCAACGAAUCUGUUAAUACCUGGUGUCAACCGAUCCUAUCUCAUAUAUAUAUAUAUGGGAUGUAUCAAAUGAGAGAACUUCUUAUAAUGAGAGGGUGAGAGCAUUACUUAUUGACCAUUGGAUUGAAAUAAACGGUUCAGAUUUUAUUGCUCCUUAGAAAGGGUCAUGCACUACAUCCUCCACCUUUCAUCUUCUCCACUUUGACGCGUUCUCUUUCUCUCACAAGUAAUUUCUACUCUCUGUGUUUCUUUUUUUUUUUUUCUCUCUUUCUCAUGGUUUUAAUUUCAUCAGUUGGUCUCAACAAAAACUUCACUAUCACCAUCAUCGUAAUCAAAGACCCAUUUUUUUGGUUUUUUAGGUUAAGGGAAAAUUAAACAGACAUCCAUCUGCAAAUCUAUACUCGAGUCACAAGAAGUUGUUGGGUUUUCAGCAACCGAAUUCGUUUGAUUGGCAAAACAAUUUCGUUUUCUUUUUCAUAUUCAUUUCUUUUUCAGCAAUCGAAGGGUUUGAGAUAAAAAUUCAUGGCUAUGCCCUUUGUGUUAGCUUUAGGCUGAUUUGGAUUAAAAAAGGUUUUUUAAUAAAUAGACAUAUAGAUUGAGAUUAAUUAAUC
This 1097-nucleotide long non-coding RNA is filed under the name Medicago truncatula (barrel medic). RNAcentral describes it as "long non-coding RNA (MTRU_LNC001653)". The record is from RNAcentral. Lineage: Eukaryota; Viridiplantae; Streptophyta; Magnoliopsida; Fabales; Fabaceae.